Molecule: ribosomal RNA, 253 nt
Filed under: uncultured bacterium
Lineage: Bacteria
Description: partial 16S ribosomal RNA
Rfam family: Bacterial small subunit ribosomal RNA
Source: RNAcentral
UACGUAGGUGGCAAGCGUUGUCCGGAAUUAUUGGGCGUAAAGCGCGCGCAGGCGGUCCUUUAAGUCUGAUGUGAAAGCCCACGGCUCAACCGUGGAGGGUCAUUGGAAACUGGGGGACUUGAGUGCAGAAGAGGAAAGCGGAAUUCCACGUGUAGCGGUGAAAUGCGUAGAGAUGUGGAGGAACACCAGUGGCGAAGGCGGCUUUCUGGUCUGUAACUGACGCUGAGGCGCGAAAGCUAGGGGAGCGAACAGG